Molecule: ribosomal RNA, 497 nt
Filed under: uncultured bacterium
Lineage: Bacteria
Description: partial 16S ribosomal RNA
Rfam family: Bacterial small subunit ribosomal RNA
Source: RNAcentral
GAUGAACGCUGGCGGCGUGCCUAAUACAUGCAAGUCGAGCGAACAGACGAGGAGCUUGCUCCUCUGACGUUAGCGGCGGACGGGUGAGUAACACGUGGAUAACCUACCUAUAAGACUGGGAUAACUUCGGGAAACCGGAGCUAAUACCGGAUAAUAUAUUGAACCGCAUGGUUCAAUAGUGAAAGACGGUUUUGCUGUCACUUAUAGAUGGAUCCUCGCCGCAUUAGCUAGUUGGUAAGGUAACGGCUUACCAAGGCAACGAUGCGUAGCCGACCUGAGAGGGUGAUCGGCCACACUGGAACUGAGACACGGUCCAGACUCCUACGGGAGGCAGCAGUAGGGAAUCUUCCGCAAUGGGCGAAAGCCUGACGGAGCAACGCCGCGUGAGUGAUGAAGGUCUUCGGAUCGUAAAACUCUGUUAUUAGGGAAGAACAAAUGUGUAAGUAACUAUGCGCGUCUUGACGGUACCUAAUCAGAAAGCCACGGCUAACUACGUG